UGAGGAAUAUUGGACAAUGGGUGGAAGCCUGAUCCAGCCAUCCCGCGUGCAGGAAGACGGCCUUAUGGGUUGUAAACUGCUUUUAUACAGGAAUAAACCACCUUUCGUGAAGGGUGUUGAAGGUACUGUAUGAAUAAGCACCGGCUAACUCCGUGCCAGCAGCCGCGGUAAUACGGAGGGUGCAAGCGUUAUCCGGAUUUAUUGGGUUUAAAGGGUCCGCAGGCGGACUAGUAAGUCAGGGGUGAAAUCCGGCAGCUCAACUGUCGAACUGCCUUUGAAACUGCUGGUCUUGAGUGAGAAUGAAGCAGCUGGAAUGUGUGGUGUAGCGGUGAAAUGCAUAGAUAUCACACAGAACACCGAUAGCGAAGGCAGGUUGCUAAUUCUCAACUGACGCUGAGGGACGAAAGCGUGGGGAGCAAACAG
Molecule: ribosomal RNA, 423 nt
Filed under: uncultured organism
Description: bacterial SSU rRNA
Rfam family: Bacterial small subunit ribosomal RNA
Source: RNAcentral